AAGAGACAGCAGUAGCCGCGGGAAAACAGAGGGUGCGAGCGUUAAUCGGAUUUACUGGGCGUAAAGCGUGCGUAGGCGGCUUCUUAAGUCGGAUGUGAAAUCCCUGAGCUUAACUUAGGAAUUGCAUUCGAUACUGGGAAGCUAGAGUAUGGGAGAGGAUGGUAGAAUUCCAGGUGUAGCGGUGAAAUGCGUAGAGAUCUGGAGGAAUACCGAUGGCGAAGGCAGCCAUCUGGCCUAAUACUGACGCUGAGGUACGAAAGCAUGGGGAGCAAACAGGAUUAGAUACCCCGGUAGUCCCUGUCUCUUAUAC
Molecule: ribosomal RNA, 310 nt
Filed under: uncultured bacterium
Lineage: Bacteria
Description: partial 16S ribosomal RNA
Rfam family: Bacterial small subunit ribosomal RNA
Source: RNAcentral